AGUGGCGGACGGGUGAGUAACACGUGGGAACGUGCCUUUAGGUUCGGAAUAAGCCCGGGAAACUGGGUCUAAUACCGAAUGUGCCCUUCGGGGGAAAGAUUUAUCGCCUUUAGAGCGGCCCGCGUCUGAUUAGCUAGUUGGUGGUGUAAUGGACCACCAAGGCGACGAUCAGUAGCUGGUCUGAGAGGAUGACCAGCCACAUUGGGACUGAGACACGGCCCAAACUCCUACGGGAGGCAGCAGUGGGGAAUCUUGCGCAAUGGGCGAAAGCCUGACGCAGCCAUGCCGCGUGUAUGAUGAAGGUCUUAGGAUUGUAAAAUACUUUCACCGGUGAAGAUAAUGACUGUAGCCGGAGAAGAAGCCCCGGCUAACUUCGUGCCAGCAGCCGCGGUAAUACGAAGGGGGCUAGCGUUGCUCGGAAUUACUGGGCGUAAAGGGAGCGUAGGCGGACAUUUAAGUCAGGGGUGAAAUCCCAGAGCUCAACUCUGGAACUGCCUUUGAUACUGGAUGUCUUGAGUGUGAGAGAGGUAUGUGGAACUCCGAGUGUAGAGGUGAAAUUCGUAGAUAUUCGGAAGAACACCAGUGGCGAAGGCGACAUACUGGCUCAUUACUGACGCUGAGGCUCGAAAGCGUGGGGAGCAAACAGGAUUAGAUACCCUGGUAGUCCACGCCGUAAACGAUGAUUGCUAGUUGUCGGGAU
RNAcentral lists this ribosomal RNA (700 nucleotides) under uncultured Alphaproteobacteria bacterium. RNAcentral's name for it is "bacterial SSU rRNA". It matches the Rfam family "Bacterial small subunit ribosomal RNA", at positions 94 to 829 of the family's 1533-position model. Lineage: Bacteria; Pseudomonadati; Pseudomonadota; Alphaproteobacteria. The record is from RNAcentral.